UUGAUGGGAUAUUGGACAAUGGAGGCAACUCUGAUCCAGCCUGCCGCGUGCAGGAAGACGGCCCUAUGGGUUGUAAACUGCUUUUAUACAGGAAGAAACGUACCUACGUGUAGGGAUUUGACGGUACUGUACGAAUAAGGAUCGGCUAACUCCGUGCCAGCAGCCGCGGUAAUA
Molecule: ribosomal RNA, 174 nt
Filed under: uncultured Bacteroidota bacterium
Lineage: Bacteria; Pseudomonadati; Bacteroidota
Description: uncultured Bacteroidetes bacterium partial 16S ribosomal RNA
Rfam family: Bacterial small subunit ribosomal RNA
Source: RNAcentral